UACGUAGGGUGCAAGCGUUAAUCGGAAUUACUGGGCGUAAAGCGCACGUAGGCGGAUAUUUAAGUCAGGGGUGAAAUCCCAGAGCUCAACUCUGGAACUGCCUCUGAUACUGGGUAUCUUGAGUAUCGAAGAGGUGAGUGGAAUUGCGAGUGUAGAGGUGAAAUUCGUAGAUAUUCGCAGGAACACCAGUGGCGAAGGCGGCUCACUGGUCCAUAACUGACGCUGAGGUGCGAAUGUGUGGGGAGCGAACAGG
RNAcentral lists this ribosomal RNA (253 nucleotides) under uncultured bacterium. RNAcentral describes it as "partial 16S ribosomal RNA". It matches the Rfam family "Bacterial small subunit ribosomal RNA", at positions 524 to 776 of the family's 1533-position model. The record is from RNAcentral.